CAAUAGCGUAUAUUAAAGUUGUUGCGGUUAAAAAGCUCGUAGUUGGAUUUCUGUUGAGGUCGACCGGUGCACACCUCGUGUGUUAUUUGGUUCGGUCUCGGCAUCCUCCUGGGGAACGUGUCAGGACUUUAUUGGACUGCGCGAGAUUCAGGACUUUUACUUUGAGGAAAUUAGAGUGUUCACGGCAGGCAAGUGCUUUGAAUACAUUAGCAUGGAAUAAUGCGACAGGACCUCGGUCCAUUUUGUUGGUUUCUUGGGUUGAGGUAAUGAUUAACAGGGAUGGUUGGGGGCAUUCGUAUUUAACUGUCAGAGGUGAAAUUCUUGGAUUUGUUAAAGACGAACUACUGCGAAAGCAUUUGCCAAGGAUGUUUUCAUUGAUCAAGAACGAAAGUUAGGGGAUCGAAGAUGAUUAGAUACCAU
This 420-nucleotide ribosomal RNA is filed under the name uncultured eukaryote. Its description in RNAcentral is "bacterial SSU rRNA". It matches the Rfam family "Eukaryotic small subunit ribosomal RNA", at positions 592 to 1018 of the family's 1831-position model. The record is from RNAcentral.